Long non-coding RNA from Mesocricetus auratus (golden hamster), 725 nucleotides. RefSeq lists it as uncharacterized. NCBI's taxonomy places the organism in Eukaryota, Metazoa, Chordata, Mammalia, Rodentia, Cricetidae. The record is from RefSeq and is a predicted model, not a curated record. The transcript is spliced from 3 exons.
ACUGCUGGGUUGGCCUGAGCUGUGCUGUAUCAGAGAUUCUCUGACAGUAGAGCAAAAAAAGCUGAUUUGGCUUUUCUGCCAGGAGGAUCCCAGAGCAAAGGCCUAGAAGACCUUGCAGAGUGAUGCAGGCCUGCUGUUGUGCCUCAGAUAAGGAUGCUUCGUGCUGGGCUUCUCAGGAACCUGGUCUCUUAUCAGAUGUGGCUGAAUGCAAGGUUUGCCAUCUUCUGCAGACAACUGUAGGGUUAGCAGGACCACUGCUAAUCAAGUCUGCCCAGCAAAGAACACUGGCCGACAACUCCCGGGAAAGGAAACACAAGUGACUAAAGAGCAUGGAUGCUGCAUGUGCAGGAGUAGUCGGCAUUGCGAAUCAACAUGGUGACCCAAGUUCAGUUCCCAGCACCAUCUAUGACUUCAGCUCCAAGGGAUCCAACGCCUUCCUCUGGGAUCCUUGCACCCCACCCUGAAACACACACACACACACACACACACACACACACACACACACACACGAGAGAGAGAGAGAGAGAGAGAGAGAGAGAGAACACAAAGAUAUAAGUAAACAUAAAUAAGACAGAAUACACACAAACAUAUAAAUAAACAUGAAUCUAAAACAAAAGUGAAUUCAUAUUCUGGUAGUAGGAAAUUAUGCAAAAGAUACAUGACUGAUACGAUCACAAUUAUAUAAAAUGUAAAAUGACAGUACAAAAUAAAGAACCAAGUCAAAA